GAGGGUAUAGCUCAGUGGUAGAGCACAUGCUUAGCAUGCACAAGGUCCUGGGUUCAAUCCCCAGUACCCCCA
Molecule: transfer RNA, 72 nt
Filed under: Camelus bactrianus (Bactrian camel)
Lineage: Eukaryota; Metazoa; Chordata; Mammalia; Artiodactyla; Camelidae
Also listed under: 3 other names
Rfam family: tRNA
About the family: Transfer RNA (tRNA) molecules are approximately 80 nucleotides in length. Their secondary structure includes four short double-helical elements and three loops (D, anti-codon, and T loops).
Source: Rfam by way of RNAcentral